RNAcentral lists this ribosomal RNA (301 nucleotides) under uncultured bacterium. RNAcentral describes it as "partial 16S ribosomal RNA". It matches the Rfam family "Bacterial small subunit ribosomal RNA", at positions 509 to 807 of the family's 1533-position model. The record is from RNAcentral.
CAGUAGCCGCGGGAAUACGGAGGGGGCUAGCGUUGUUCGGAAUUGCUGGGCGUAAAGCGCACGUAGGCGGCUUGGUAAGUUAGAGGUGAAAGCCUGGAGCUCAACUCCAGAAUUGCCUUUAAGACUGCCGAGCUAGCAGGUGAGAGAGGUAAGUGGAAUUCCGAGUGUAGAGGUGAAAUUCGUAGAUAUUCGGAAGAACACCAGUGGCGAAGGCGGCUUACUGGCUCAUACUGGACGCUGAGGUGCGAAAGCGUGGGGAGCAAACAGGAUUAGAUACCCCCGUAGUCCCUGUCUCUUAUAC